GGAAGAACGUGAAGAUCAACUUUGACAAUGUUGGGGCAGGAUACCUGGCCCUUCUUCAAGUAGAACAAAGCCCUCCUGGGACCUGUAGUAACA
RNAcentral lists this small RNA (93 nucleotides) under Pan troglodytes (chimpanzee). Its description in RNAcentral is "processed transcript". Lineage: Eukaryota; Metazoa; Chordata; Mammalia; Primates; Hominidae. The record is from RNAcentral.